GAAGGUUAUUAUGGAUUAUUAUAUUAUUAAUAUUGGAAUGGAUAACUACAUUAUUGAUAUUAGAAUCAUCAAUGAGAUUUAAUUCAAUGAUCUGAGUGAUCCUAUAGUUGUCUACAGAUUUAUAAAAUCUUGAAUUCCAAUCCUCAUUGAGCAAGAUAUAUCAACACAAAGUAUCUUUCUCCUAAUAAUAACUUGAUCACUUGCACGAAAGAAAACCAUUUGCCAAAUUUUUUAUUGGGCAUUCUAAAUUCAAUCACUUGCAAGACUCUCUCCUAAACCCCAACCUCUCAUUCCUCAAAUCAUACUCUACAUGAAAAUUCUGCAUCAGAAAAUUCCCCAAAAUUAUCCCUGGCCCUUUUGCUGCCUCUGCUCCCUCCACCACAUCGGUCACCACCGUCAAGCAUGCCACUUCCCUGUCCCCAACCAAGGCAAAGUAAUUCUCCACUGGUAGUAACACCUCAGUGCCACCCUUAAAAUGAAGCUUCAGUUCAGGAAACUCCACCUUCAUAACCCCAGAAACGUUAAAACAAGGCUUUAGCCCACUCAAAUCCUCAACCGUUUCAGCUCUCUCAUAAUUCUUCAUCUGUGAAAUGAAUUCAUUGCUUAGCGCCUCAUAGCCUUCAUGUGACAUGAACGUGAAUGUAGUCCCUGAGUCGAUGAUGGUCCCACCAUUGCCAUCGUUUCCAGGCGAGAGGUACUUGUACGGAAUCUUCACGCGGCGGCCGCCGACGAUUAUUCUACGGAGACCAACGUAGUAGUAAACUGAAAAUGCGGGCUUCUCUUCGACUUUCGGGUUUUUAAGUAGCGGUGUGUAUACUAAUGCGGUGGUUUUCUUAUCAGAAUCAAACUCGGAAUCAAGAACAAGAGAGCUGCUUUCGGCGGAAUCAUCGAAUUUAUGAGAAAGUAAGCAGUACGAGAAUUUACUGAGGCCAAUUUGGCUGGGUAAAGAUGAAGGGCCGCGGCCAAAACCGGCUAUUCCCGCUGGCUGGCGGGAAGAGAAAACGGAACAUCCAACCAAAAAGUUUGGCACUGUUAGGCCAUGAAGAUGGAGAGUCUCUGAGAGUGCAAUGCCUCCAGUGGUGCCUGAACCGUAGAGGAUAAGAUAAGGGGGGCAGAUCUGGGAGCAGUUUCGGGAAAUGGGGCUGUUUUCACAUUCUGGACACUGUAAAUCCGUUUGGUGAAUCCAAGAGCAUUUGGGGUUGUUGCAGCCAAUAAUUUUGGACGAUGAGGAACGUUUGGGGAUAAAAGGUGAGAUUCUUGAGGCGGAUGAGGCGAAAGAGCAGUUCUUGCAGUGAUAGUUGACGGUGCACGGGAACCAGACAAAGUCGCUGCCUGUGUCCAUGAUAAAAGGGAGAGUUUGAGGUGGAGUGCCAAAGCUAAGAGAAAUGGAGUAGGCUCCAUAGUGGUGCGAAAACACUGGAGUUGAAGUUGUAGUAGGGGCGGUUUGGGGGUUUUUGAGGUAGUGGGCUCUGGUUAGAGAGGCAGAGACUAGGUGGUUCAGCUUUUGGAAUGGAUCUUGAGAUGGGUUUUGCUUUGUGUAUGAAUGUGAUAAUGGAAUGGUAAUGGAAGAGACCAGGGGAAAUAUAAGGUAGAGAAAAGGCAGACAAUAGAGCAAAGAACAAGACACAGAAACCAUGGUGUUUCUUUUUGCCUAGCUAUUGGGUCUGAGAGAGAUCUAGAGAGAGAAGAAAGUAAUCUUUUAUUUAAUAGCUGAUGAUAAAGAGAUGAUGAAGUGAUGAAGGUUUAGGCGAUAAAUAUAGCCAUUCUGUUUGCUAUUAAGUUAUAACAGCGUCACAAUGGUGGCUGUGCAAUGCAUGGCAUUGAACACCCAAAAGAGCUUUGAAAAAAAAAAAA
RNAcentral lists this unclassified non-coding RNA (1854 nucleotides) under Hevea brasiliensis (rubber tree). Lineage: Eukaryota; Viridiplantae; Streptophyta; Magnoliopsida; Malpighiales; Euphorbiaceae. The record is from RNAcentral.